RNAcentral lists this ribosomal RNA (437 nucleotides) under uncultured Oscillospiraceae bacterium. Its description in RNAcentral is "partial 16S ribosomal RNA". It matches the Rfam family "Bacterial small subunit ribosomal RNA", at positions 341 to 792 of the family's 1533-position model. Lineage: Bacteria; Bacillati; Bacillota; Clostridia; Eubacteriales; Oscillospiraceae. The record is from RNAcentral.
ACGGAAGGCAGCAGUGGGGAAUAUUGGGCAAUGGGCGCUAGCCUGACCCAGCGACGCCGCGUGAGGGAAGAAGGUCUUCGGAUUGUAAACCUCUUUCAGCAGGGAAGAAGCAAGUGACGGUACCUGCAGAAGAAGUCACGGCUAACUACGUGCCAGCAGCCGCGGUAAUACGUAGGUGGCGAGCGUUAUCCGGAAUUACUGGGUGUAAAGGGUGUGUAGGCGGAGAAGCAAGUCAGGCGUGAAAUUUAUGGGCUCAACUCAUAAACUGCGCUUGAAACUGUUUCCCUUGAGAGUGGGAGAGGUAAACGGAAUUCCUGGUGUAGUAGUGAAAUGCGUAGAUAUCAGGAGGGACACCGGUGGCGAAGGCGGUUUACUGGACCACAACUGACGGUGAGGCGCGAAAGCGUGGGGAGCAAACAGGAUUAGAUACCCUGGUA